UGAAAAAGGCAUAACAAGGAAAGAGAAAGAAGGCACGAAAGUAAGGAUCUUUAUUAUUUCAGUUAUUUAUUUCUUUAUUUUUCUCCCCCUGCUCCCUCGUUGACCUUCUGUUUGGAGAGAGGAAGGCAGCAGCACAGCACUGCUCACUGGCAAACACAGGAGAGAGGCGCCCGGUGCUGCUGCUGCUGCUGCUGCAACCGGGAUUCACCUCAUCUACACAGGACGGGAUCCUGGAUUGAUCACGGUCUUCCAAAAACUGUCAAGAUUUAAGCCUGGUUGGAGGCGGCACAGGCUCCGCGCUAAUUCGGUGAAAAUUCAGCUGCAACUCUUCCGCCUGGUGCAGCAAUGUGACAGAGAGGGGCAGCGCCGGAGGAGGCCGGGUGUUCAUUCUUCCAGGUAGAUGGGUCGAUUCAUGAAUAGGGAGAAAUAAAUAUAACGGGCGCAUAUCAGAUGCGUUGCCCCAAGCUUUACACAUGAUGCGCACCUUAACUUUCCCCAAUGACUCUCUCACAGAUAAAAAAAAAAAAAAAAAGUCACUUUUUCAGCGCAAUCAGUCCAUUUCUCCUUCCAGUCCCUAAAUAAAGCGUGUGCAUAAGUCAUUAAGCUGCUUGUGUGGAGGAAAAAGGUGCUCUCAGGCAUGAAUGAGGCCAACCCAAUGGCCAGCCAGGGUCUUCCCAAAAAAAACAUAUUCUGUUUCGGAUUCGUGUGUCCUGGCUGAUUAACCGGCCGGGGCUCCAGCAUGUUAGAUGGGAGCUGUGGAGAUGGCCCUUUAGCCCGGUGUCACAGGAGCUGACAAGAUGCAAUUACUGCGGCUGACACGUCCAACCCCAAAGCUCACUAAUGUGAGAGAUGUGGAAACCGCAGACAAUUUCUCGCACACUGUACAGCGAGAGGCAGCUCUGCGGCCAAGGAGUCCCAUUUUAAACGCGGCCCUGCGUGACGCCUUUCACCAGUAAAACAGCCGCUUAUUCAGCAGAUGAAGAUAUGGCGCGGAGCAUCAUGAGACUGUAUGUAAACGCAGGACAACAGAGAGCUAGUCUGCUCGGUUUUGAAAGAACAUACACUAUAAAAAAGGAAUUUCGGAGAUUAACUAUUACUCAGAAAAUUAUUAUUAUUAUUAUUAGUUUUGUUAAUCAGUUGGCUGGAAUACAGUUUAAGGAAUUGAUUCAGUCAGUAAACUAAUACUCAUACAUGACUAUAUUAACUUAGCAAAAAAUGAGAACUACAUAGAAACAUUUGACUGAGGAAGUUUCUGUGCUUAAGUUUGGACCCAGUUUUAGCUUGUUACCCAUCAGUGCUAACGCUAGUUUGAAAGCAGUAAGGGGAGCUGAACCAUGAGGAAAUGAUUGCCAACGAACAGUGACCUCUAGAACACAACGUGUUUGUAUGUCAAAAAAAAGGUAUUGUUGUUAUUAUUUAUUGAUUCUUGAUAGAGGAUACAAAAGCGAUGGUAGGUGAUCUUGAUAACUAGGGGGGAAACUCUUUUAAAAGAAAGCCGUGAGAUUUGAAACAAUGCGUUCAGGUUGUUCCAGCUGUGAAACACACAAAUGUUUACUUAAAAAUGUGAAUGACUUAUAACAAAAUAAAAUGUAUAAAAAUGAAAUUUUCAUCUGUCAAAUAAAAAGAAAACACUUUUUCAGCUAAGGGUAAAUGAUAAAGCAAAUGAACUAUUUACAUGUAAUGUACAAGACUUUUUAAAAAAUCUUAUAUGGAGAAACUGGUGUCAUUUGCAUAGAAGUCUUUCAGUAAGCUUGACAGCUAAAAUACCAUUAAAUCAUUUUUAAAAACUACUUACCCAAUUGAAUAAAUUAAAAUCUGAUUAUUAUUGUUUUGAUCACCUGUUGUUGUUUUUUUGUUUGUUUGUUAAAUAGAAACAAAAUAAAAUAACUAAAUUCGGACUAAAACAGAAAUAGAUCUUUUAAUACUGAGUUUUGCCUCACGGCUAAAAAGCUCAGCUUGCUAGCAUGGUUGCCUUUAGCAUUAGCUCUGUCACUAAUCUAGUUGAAACUGGAUAUGAACUUCAAUUAUUGCUCCUAUACAAAGACUCUCUAAACCAGAUACUUUAUGGAAGCUCUUAACUCAGUUUGCAUAUUCACUAAUAAUAAAACCCAUCUAGACAGAGGAGCCUUAGCAUUGCCUUAGCAUUAGCAUCUGUACUCUGUACAGAGUAAAUAUCAACAACAUAUUCAGAUAAAUCUAGUCCAAAAGUUUGGGUGAGAUUUCUUUCUGACAUAAACUAGUGAGAGUUGUAAGAAUUCAACCAUUACUGGUCAACACAUUGCAACCAGCUUAAGUUAAACAUUAUAUGGCUAAUACGUAAUAUCCUACAAAAUAAUUUUUUUAAAGUGCACUAGUUAUGUACUUAAAACCAAACCUUAACUUCAAUCAAGACAGAAACAGGUCGUCAUAAAGUAAAAACUAUUUAGUCAAAUGCUUUCAGAUUUGAGGUACUUUUCUUGAAAAACGUUUGAACAUGUCAUCUUUGUUUUUGGAGUGAAUGCAUUGUUAUACCAUUGUUUUUUGCUAACACCUCUAGCACCAAUAAACAAUAAUCACCUAUACAUAUCAGUACAAAGGCUGUUCUUUUUAGCAUUUCAAACUUUAGAGUUUGGAUUAGUAUAAAAGUGGGCUAUAAGCAUUAUAUCCCACUGAGGUGUGAAAGUUUCUUCCUGUCUCUGAUUUGACAAAUUCCAUUAGAUUUUCCCAUGACGCAAACUGUCACCCGAUUCCAGUUUAAAACCCACACUAGCUGCUUGUCACUCUCAUUUAUUCCUCUCCCAGGAUGCAGAAGUUGCGCCUCCCGAAGCACAAAGACUCCGUUAAAGCUUCUAAAGUCUCCAAUCAACCAACAUGAGUGAUCCAUAGCUGAAGUGUCCCUUCUACUCUCUUUUGACAUUACUCCACUCGAUUGCCCGUUUACCCCCGAGUCAAGUUUGAGGCGGGCAUGAAGUGUAAAAGAGGUGGGCCAUGUCAUAUCCGCUCAGUGUGCAUGGGAUUGUUGGCAUGCACGGCGGUGAUCAUUGUUCAGGGAGAACAAUUCUUGCUCAGAGCAGGCAGGGAAAAGUGAGGAGAAUGGUGGAGAACUGGGGCUAAUGAAACGAUUUGUUCACAGGUUUUUCCUCAUCAGCAGUGGCAGUGUGAUUAUACCACAAGCACAUUUUUUGCUUGCUUGUUUGUUUUUAAGCCACAUUUGUUCAUAGACAAAAUUCCACCAUCAAAUUUGCAAAACUUGAGUAACAUUUCCCUCUCCUUCCUGGACACAAAGGUAAUUUCAGUAUAAUAUAAUGCAUAUUAACAUAUUGAAACACUUAUAUAUUAUCUAUUCUACACUGAUAAAACAAAAUAUUAGAGUUGAAUACGUACAAUUGAUGAAGCACUUUGCAUAUAUUCACUUUCGAGGCUUUCUGAGUUGAAUGAUUUAAGCUCGACAGUCAGCAUGUAGAUUAGUUACUCAGCUAGUUAACUAGUUAGCACGGUUCUUUUCCUUAUUUGUCCUCCACGGUGGGAAAGAAGAACAAAAAACUAUUUUUUGUGUUUAAAGAAUGAAAUGUUACUGAUACAAUUUAGUAAAUCUUUUCUAACAAGAUUUUCCCUACCAACAAAGUUAUGCCACUUAUUUCUUCAUGGUUUAUCUGCACGUUAGCAUGUUCAACAGUAGCUUUAGCUUUGUUGCUAAACUACUUCAAGAUGGAUACAAACUUAAAUUGUUGUUGCAGUGCACUAUUUUAACCAAAAAUCUCCAGGUAAUGGUUAAUUUUAAGAUCUUCAUAUCAUAUAUAUAUAUAUAUCUUUAAUGUGGGUGUAUAAGGAGUAGAAUAAAGUUUGACUGACUCAACAUCUUCACUUCCGUUUUUCUCAAAUGUUUAAGUAGAAAUUUUAUUAAAGUAACACAAUAUCUGUGUAAUUCAACCACAAUUUUACAUUGCUUAAAUAAACUAAUAUAGGUGACCAAAAUCUACAAAUAUUAAUGGGUACAAUUUAUUCAAUUUUUAUGUGAACUUAAACAUUUAAUGGAUGGAUCUGUUGUACUAGAGAGAGAGUUGUUAUUUUGAACUCCAUGUUGACUGAAAAUUAAUUAUCUUGAAUCUUUCAGCAGAAACAAAUUGAAUCUCUAAAACAUUGAGAUCAGAAUCGGAAUGCUUUUAUUCAUAUUGUACCGAAGCGAUAACAAUACAAUUAAUUUAAGUACAUUGUAAGAAUUUGAUGUUUGCAGUUUUAGGGAAAUUUAUUUUCCAGUCUAUUGACGUAAGUCAACUCUGAAGUGUACUAUUACAGCUAAGUAGUAGACUACACAUGUUUGUUGUGUACAAAUAAAAUAAGUCUCACUGACCUAAAAUUAACGUCACCGUUUUAGUGAUUAAUCAGACAUUUACCUAGCUCUCACGUGGUUGCUAUAGGCAAUAGGUUAACACUGUAUCCUUUACAUUAUGGGGUCUCAGGUGUGUAUGUUUUCAUCGAGCGGCUUGGACUCACCAGCCAAUCAGAGGUGUUGUCCGAAAUCAACUGUCCCGUAACUGGAAACUAUAGACAAGUCUACUUAUUUACGGCUGAGCAGAGGCCGUCCGAUCUGAUUAUGGUCGGUAUAUUGGAUCAAUAACUGAUGUCUGAGAGAACCGAGAAGGGUGGAGUGCAGGGACAGGAGGGAAGCAAAGGUGCAACAGGUCACUCAUUAGGAAGGAUGAGCCAUUGAACUCUUUAUUAUUAUUUUUAUUAUUAUUAUUAUUAGUAGUAGUAGUAGUAUUAAAUAAUAACAAUAAUAAUAAUAAUAAGUACCAUUAGCC
Long non-coding RNA from Xiphophorus hellerii (green swordtail), 4781 nucleotides. RefSeq lists it as uncharacterized. The record is from RefSeq and is a predicted model, not a curated record. The transcript has 4 exons. NCBI's taxonomy places the organism in Eukaryota, Metazoa, Chordata, Actinopteri, Cyprinodontiformes, Poeciliidae.